Molecule: ribosomal RNA, 2508 nt
Filed under: Triticum aestivum (bread wheat)
Lineage: Eukaryota; Viridiplantae; Streptophyta; Magnoliopsida; Poales; Poaceae
Description: partial small subunit ribosomal RNA
Source: RNAcentral
AUGAUCCUGCAAGCAAGCAAAAGGCCAAGAAUGGCAAUGUAUUCUUCCCUUCCUGUGUACGCCAUUCUUUUGCUUCUUUCUUGGACAUUCAAUUCGUUGCCUCUUUGUGCAUCCGAUAACCGGAUUGUCGCUGGCAAGCCGCUCUCCCCUGGCAAUGUCCUCGUCUCUCAAGAUGGGGUGUUUGCCCUGGGAUUCUUCUCCCCAUCCAACUCCACCAAGAACUAUCACUAUGUUGGCAUAUGGUACAAUCGCAUCCCGGAGCGCACGGUGGUAUGGGUUUCUAACCGUGCGGCUCCGAUCACCACUAACCUCUCCUCUGCAAAUCUUGUCGUCACCAACAACUCCGACAUAGUCUUGUCUGAUAGCAAUGGUCGUGUCCUCUGGACAACGAACAACAGCGUCAGCAUGAAUUCCAUCUCGGUGGAAGCAGUGUUGGACAACACUGGCAACUUCAUCCUUAGAUCACUAGCUGACAGUGCCAUACUAUGGCAAAGCUUCGACCACCCCACCGACACCCUCCUACCCGGCAUGAACAUCAGGCUCAGCCACAACACGCUUCCACUGCAGCACCUCGUCUCUUGGAAGGCCCAACAUGACCCAUCCCCCGGUGAGUUCUCCUACGGCGCAGACCCUAGCAGCCUCCUCCAGUGCUUCAUUUGGAAUGGCUCGAGACCACACCUGCGAAGCCCGGUGUGGACAAACUACCUCUACAUGGACAAAUUCAACAAGUCUGCCAUUUACAUGGCCUUACAUCACGCCGGCGAUGAGGUGUACAUGUCCUUCGGCAUGCCGACUGGUUCCUUCAUCCUGUUGGUCAGGAUGCAGAUUGACUACUUGGGCAAGGUAAAUAUACUAAGCUGGGACAGCAACAUGUCAGUAUGGAGAGCUCUGUAUGCAGAGCCUCAACAUGAGUGCAAUACGUACGGCUACUGCGGUCCUUAUGGUUACUGCGACAACACAGCAACCGUCCCAGUUUGCAAGUGCCUUGACGGUUUUGAGCCGAGGGAUGGUAAAGGAUGGAUCGCCGGUAGCUUCUCACAGGGAUGCCGACCGAAGGAGGUGCGAAGGUGCACCCAUGGAGAUGAUUUCCUAGCCUUUCCAGGCAUGAAGGUCCCUGACAAAUUCCUUCAUCUCCCGAGUAGAAGCUUUGACGAGUGCAGAGAGGAAUGUAGAAGCAAUUGCUCCUGCGUGGCAUAUGCUUACUCCAGGAUGAGCAACAUGGAUAUUGAUGGAGAUGACACAAGAUGCUUGGUAUGGAUGGGAGAUUUGAUCGACAUGGAGAACAACACUCAAGGAGGGGAGAACCUCUAUGUUCGGACUAGAAUAUUGCAAGGUGACAUGAAAAAGAUCACAACCCUAGAAAUUGUAUUAUCAGUUGUUUCAAGUUUUCUAGUACUCAUAUGCGUGGGGCUUAUUUGCAUCUAUGCUUUUAGAGGCAAUCGCCGAAGCAAGGUUUUCUGGGGAAGGUUGAUGCGACGGGAUACAGGAAAUUACAAUGAGCUCGCUGAUAGUAACACAGAGUUUCCCAUUUUUAACUUCAGGGUAAUUGCUGCCGCGACAAAUAAUUUCACUGAAUCCAACAUUCUUGGCAAAGGAGGCUUUGGCAAUGUUUAUAAGGGAAGGUUGGAAGAUGGUAGGGAAAUUGCUGUGAAAAGGCUUCGUGUAGGUUCUCUCCAAGGGGCAGUGGAGUUCAAAAAUGAAAUAGCUCUGAUUUCUAGGUUGCAACACAGAAACUUGGUCAAACUUCUAGGCUGCAGUAUUCAUGAAGAUGAAAAGCUUUUGAUUUAUGAAUAUCUACCUAACCGAAGUUUGGAUUACUUCAUUUUCAAUGGUACAAGAAAAUUGCUGCUAAACUGGUCCACAAGAUUUAAGAUAAUCAGGGGUGUAGCAAGGGGCCUUCUUUAUCUCCACCAAGAUUCCAGAUUGAUGAUGAUUCAUAGAGAUCUCAAAGCAAGUAACAUAUUGUUGGAUGCUGAGAUGAGCCCCAAAAUUUCUGAUUUUGGUACAGCUAGGCUCUUUGGUGUCCAUGAACAGGAAGGACAUACCAAUCAAGUUGUUGGAACAUUUGGAUACAUGUCACCGGAAUACGCAAUGGAAGGUAUCAUCUCUGUAAAAUCCGAUGUUUACAGCUUUGGCGUAUUACUUCUAGAGAUUGUAAGUGGCAUGAAGAUCGGCACCACAACCCCAAGCGCACAUGCACGCGCUCAUAACCUUAUAGAUUAUGCAUGGAGCUUAAGGAAGGAUGGGAAAAUGAUGGAUCUAGUCGACUCAUCUAUUGUAGAGGGUUGCUCUCUCGUUGAACCUCUACGAUGCAUACAUAUCGGACUCUUGUCGGUGCAGGACGACCCAGACGCUCGCCCCCUCAUGUCUUCGGUGAUAGCAAGCUUGGAUAACAAAGAUAUUGAGCUCCCACAGCCGAAAGAGCCUAUGUGCUUUGCACGUCGUAACUACGGAGCUGGCGAAAGCCAAGCAGAUGACCUGAGCCUCGAAAACCUCAAGGGGCGCUAG